GGUGGCUAAGUGGUAGAGUGCUUGCCUUGCAUGCAUGAGGCUCUGGGUUCAAUUCCUCAGUACCA
RNAcentral lists this transfer RNA (65 nucleotides) under Dipodomys ordii (Ord's kangaroo rat). It matches the Rfam family "tRNA". Rfam says of the family: Transfer RNA (tRNA) molecules are approximately 80 nucleotides in length. Their secondary structure includes four short double-helical elements and three loops (D, anti-codon, and T loops). Lineage: Eukaryota; Metazoa; Chordata; Mammalia; Rodentia; Heteromyidae. The record is from Rfam by way of RNAcentral.